This 7856-nucleotide long non-coding RNA is filed under the name Gossypium barbadense (sea-island cotton). RNAcentral's name for it is "long non-coding RNA (GBAR_LNC001272)". The record is from RNAcentral. Lineage: Eukaryota; Viridiplantae; Streptophyta; Magnoliopsida; Malvales; Malvaceae.
UAGAUUCACAAAGGAAUAUAAAAAUAUAAACUAUAACUCCUAAUUAUUUUUGUACAAUUUUUAGUGAAUUUAUAAAUUUAGAACAGGGGAUUCAGAAAUCCCUCUGACCCUAUCUCACUAAAAUUCAAAUAUCUCUUAAUAUACACUUCUUUUUCUUACUCUGUUUCUUUCAUAUGAAAAUAGACUCAAUAAGUUUUAAUUUUAUAUUUUAUUCAUCACCUAAUUCCAUUUCUACUAUUCUUGGUGAUUUUUCAAGAUCACAUCACUACUGCUGUUUAAUACUGUUUUAAUGUUAAUUUCACUUUUUAGUGAUUUCUUUGUAUUAACUACCAUUUAGGCAUACAUAACACCGAAACAUGUUCUUCAUUAGCCAUUUCAAUAGCUAAUAAUUAUCAAAUAUUUACAUACCAUUCUUUAGCCAUAUCAUAAGGAUAUACACACAAAAUGGCUAAGUCCCUAUACAUGCCAUAAACUAGAACGUUUGUAAACGAAGAUACCCAUUUGGUAACUUGAUAGUCGAUAGUGUGAAGUGAUCUCCGACAACCUCUAUCCCAAGCUUGCUUUUAAGUACUCUAAAACAUGGGAAAGUGAAAGAAGUAAGCUUAUAAAGCUUAGUAAUUUCACAUGUAAAAUAAUAAGCAUUAGCAAUCAAUUUAGCUUACUACUAUGCUGUCAUAAUUUGCUUAAAUAAUGUUUAGUUCUUACUUUCCCAUCUAACUCAUCGGUAACCUUACCAAAGGCUCAGAAUACAAAAGGCACCUUACUUAAUAGCUUGCUUACAUACCUGCGACAUCUCACUUAACACAUGAGUACUCUUUCAUAAUAUAGGCAUAUUGCCAAUCAUGUCAUAAAAUGUCACAAGCAUAACUGAAAACUCAUCACUUACUUAAUACUUGAUAAUCUCAAUUACUUACAAUCUCAAUAUUAAAUAAGCCUUUAAUGCAUACCUGUACUCUUUCUUCAUGUUCUCACCUUGUCGUUUCUUUGACUUACUCUUUGAAUUACUCGAGAACCUUUUCCUUUUUGAACUUACCAUUGCCAUGUCUUGACAUGGUCUUACGUGGUAUCCUUGCCUUAUGAACUCACUAAUGCCAUGCCUUGGCAUGGUCUUACAUGGGACCUUUGCCUUAUAGUAACUCAUCAAUGCCAUGUCUUGACAUGGUCUUAUAUAAUUUCCUUGACUUAUAGAACUUAUCAAUGCCAUGCCUUGGCAUGGUCUUACAUGAUUUUCUUGCCUUAUAGAACUUAUCAAUGCCAUGCCUUGGCAUGGUCUUACAUGACUUAUCAAUGCCUUGUCAAGUCAUAGCUGAAACAUACUUGCUCAAAUUCUCAAGGUUAGUCGCAUAACUCAAUAAUAACAAUACUAAUAACAAUAAUUGCAUAAUAAUAAAAUGCUACUCAACUUACAUACUUACAUUCUCAAUCUCAUCAUAUCAUCAACUUAACUUAUUCUCAUCAAACUAUGCUAGUCAAUACUUUCUUGUUAUCAUACAAAGCCAUAAUGCAAAAUAUGGUCUUACAUAUAAAUUAUACAAGUUCUCUUUCCAAUAUUAAAUUAUUAUUGAACAUUAAUCAUUAUAUCUGAAACUCAAUACUAAAGUAUUUAUGGCAAAAAUAUCAAUUUAUCAUUCAAAUAUGCAUAAUUAAAUGCUUAUUAAACAUAUGAACUUACCUCGAUACCAAAACGACCAUUUUACCAACUUUCUCGAUUUUCGAUUUUUCUCUCGUUCUAGGUCCAAAUCUCACUUUCUGGGAUCUAAAACAUCAUAUUUCACUAUUUAAUUAAUUUACUAUUCAAAACAUUCCCUAACUCAAACUUUGGCAAAAUUACAAUUUUGUCCCUAAACCUUUGCAGAAUUAUGAUUCUCCCUAGGCUCGAAAAUUAAAAUUUAUCCAUUUUUAUUAUGUUUUAUGACACGCUGAACAUUUUUACCUUCUAUGGAAACAUCAAAUUCCCUCUAUAAUGUACUUAUGAACAUUAGGCAUUUUUACCGAUUAUGUCGUUUUACUCGUUUUCACUUAAAAUUGCUUAGCAAAGGUUGUUUAACAUAAUUUCAAGCUUCAUAUUCUACCAUAAAACAUCAAAAUAAACACAUUUAACCUAUGAGCAUUUUUCCAAAUAUGAACCCUAGCAUGAAUUAUUACUAGAAUAAGCUAAAUUAAGUUACCGAGACUCUAAAAACGUAAAGAACAUUAAAAACAAGGCUAGAACGGACUUACUAUUGGGAAAGCUUGGAAAGCUUGGAAACCCUAACCAUGGCUUCCCCCAUGCUAUAUUUUGCCUCCAUGAAGAAGAUGGACCAAUUUUGGCUUUAUUUUCCCUUUUUAAUUCUUUUAAUUACUAAAUGACCAAAAUGCCCUUAAAGGCUUUUCUUUCAAAUUUGUCCUAUUCUUGUCCAUUUUUGUCUAAACCUAAAUAUAAUGAUCUAAUUACUAAAUAAGGACCUCCACUUUAAGAACCCAUUUUAAUUAAAUCCCAUUUAUUAUCUAGAACACACAUUUUGCUAAUUUUACAAUUUAGUCCUAAUUAUCAAAUUAGGCACUUAUACAUAAAUUUUUUUCACAAAAUUUUCACACAAUUAUUCAAUCAAUGAAUAAACCUUAAAACUUAAUCAAAAUAAUUUUUUUUUUACCUUGAAUUUGUGGUUUCGCAACCACUAUUUCAUUUAGGUCCUAUUUCGGGAUGUUACAAGACCGAUUGAGCGAGAUCAGAUUCAUAUUAUUUCUUCACCGUUCUGGAUCAAAAUUGGUACGUGUUUACUAGAAUUUGAUAGAAAGGAUUUAUUACAUGCUAUUGGAGGUACUUUUGGAGGAAUAAUUAAGUCUAAAAUUAAUGGUGAUAAUUGCAGAAUUAGAAUUCACUUGGAUGUGCAGAAACCACUUAGGAGAAAGAUUUUUGUUUUAAGUGAUAACAGUGUUAAAUCGUGGAUUUCUUUCAAAUAUGAGAAAUUAUCGAUAUUCUGUUUUGGGUGUGGAAGAAUGGGGCAUAGUUUCAAUGAUUGCUUGAUGUUAAGCUCUGCAGAAAAAAACAAAGUCAAUGACGAUCUACUAUACUCAAUAGCAUUGAAAGCCAAAUCAAAUUUGAUAGGAAAAGAGAGUAUAAAGUUAAAUGCGUAUGCAAAAAAAGAUGGGUACUCAAGUUUCUUAGACAGGUAACUUGGUAAAUGAACUUGGCGUUACUGACAUGAUCGCAGAUCCUAUAAUUUUGCAAGGAAAGGUAAAAGGUGGAAGACAAUUGGCAAGCUGGCUGGAAGGGUUACAGGAGCUUGAAACAGAUAUUAAUGAGUCGGAGAUUGGUGUGGUGAAUGAUAGUAAUAUAGAGAUGGGUAAAUCCUCAGUAGCAUCCAAGAAGUCUAGUUGGAGAAGGUUUAUUCCAGCGAAUCAACCUGUUAAUUGAAGGUGCAAAAAGGUGGGUGGGAAGUGGAAAUUUCUAGAAGUUGCUGAUGAUAAAAACGUUGCAGAAGUGUCAUAUGAAGAUGGAGAAAAAAGGUUGAAAAUGGAAGAUAUGGUUGAUCGAGGUGAGGUUCUAAAGGGUGUAAUAUUGGAAAAUCCAGAACAAAAUAAUGUACCAAGCAAUUUAGAGUCGGCGACUGCCAAUAGGUCAGCCAACCGUGCACAAUGAAAAACUUAGGCUGGAAUAUCCAUGGGUUGGGGAGUCCACGGGCGGUACGGAGGCUGCAGCAUUUACUCAAACAGCAUAAUCCCCAUAUGAUCUUAAUGGAAACAAAAUUAGACAAAAAAAAACGAAUGGAAAGGGUUAGAAGGAGCUGUGGUUUUACGAGUGGAAUUGAAGUAGAAGCUGAGAGGACUCGGGGAGGAUUGUGCCUAGCAUGGAAGGGUGACGUUAAGGUUGAUGUGAAGAGUUUCUCAAAGUAACAUAUUGAUGUUUUGAUUCAGGAAGAUGAUAUCCAAGAAGAGUGGAGAUUUACGGGGUUCUAUGGAUCAUCAUAUCUAAAAAACAAGAAUACUGCAUGGGAUUUGCUUAAAAGAUUAGGCCAAGAACAUAAUCAUCCUUGGCUUGUAAGUGGCGAUUUCAAUGAAAUUUUGUAUUCUUUUGAAAAAAAUAGAGUACAAAGAGAUCAGAGGAGGAUGGAGGCAUUUAGGGAGGUUUUAGAGGAGUGUCAAUUAAUGGAUAUUGGAUAUUUGGGGGUUUGGUUCACAUGGGAAAGAGGAAAUUUUCCAGAAACAAACAUAAGGGAGAGGUUGGAUAGGAGGUCACAAAUGAAAAAUGGAUAAACUUAUUUCCAAUGAGUAGCAUUCAACACCUUCCUUAUUCAACAUCAGAUCACUGUCCCCUCCUCUUUAAUACAGCAAGUGAUACUAUUACCAAAAGAAGUCCAAGAUUUCAUUUUGAGGCCUAGUGGACCAUGGAGGAGAUGAUCGAACGAGCAAUCAAGGAAUCUUGGGAGUUUAGCUCAGGACUGUUACUUGAGAAACUAGAAAGACUACAAGUUCGAUUGGAAAAAUGGGCAAGCAACAUUAGAAGGAAGAGAGAAAGUCUAAAACGAAAGUUAACCAAGGAGCUAGAACAUCUGUUGGAGAAGGAGAGGGAUGAUGAAACGUUAGCACAGAUUAUUGACACGAAAAUUCACCUCAAUUUGGAGAUCGACAAAGACAAAUUGUAUUGAGAGCAAAGAGCUAGAGCAAAUUGGAUCCAAUUUGGGGAUAAGAAUUUGGCCUAUUUUCACAAGUGUGCUUCAGCUCGCAAGAGAGCAAAGACAAUUUCUAGGUUGGUAUUGGAUGAUGAAAGGGAAAUUACAGAGGAGUCAGAGAUUAAUAAGAAUGCCACUUGGUUUUUUCAGGAGCUAUUCACGACAAAGGCAAGUGGGGAUUCAAUUCAUUUGUUAACAGGCAUUGGAGGGUGCAUCUCUCACAAGGAAAAUGAAGUUUUAUUGUCUCCCUUCAGGGAAGAAGAAAUUUGGAUUGCAUUAAAAGGGAUAGGACCCACCAAAGCACCUGGACAUGAUGGGUUUCCAGCAAUGUUUUUUCAAAGGUACUGGCAUAUAGUAGGGAAAAAAGUUGUUGAUUAUUGUUUGGGGAUUUUGAAUAACAACGAGGAGGUUGCCUCAUUUAAUAACACAAACAUUGUGCUUAUCCCAAAACUCCUAAGGCCCACUAAACUUGUGAAUUUUAGGCCCAUUAGUCUGUGUACAGUCAUGUAUAAAAUUGUAGCGAAAACUAUAGCAAAUCGCUUGCAAGAGGUUAUCGGCAGAUGUGUCGACAAGGUACAAAACGCUUUUGUCCCAGGGUGACUUAUUUCAAACAAUGUGAUUUUAGCUUAUGAAAUUUUGCACACAUUUCAUCAAAAGCGUAUAGGGAAAAAAGGGCUUAUAGUGGUGAAGCUUGAUAUGAGUAAGGCAUAUGAUAGAGUUGAGUAGGGUUUUAUAAAAGAAAUGAUGUUAAAAAUGGGGUUUGCAAACAAAUGAGUGGGGCUCAUAAUGAGGUGUAUUUCAACAGCUUCUUAUGCGGUCAUUAUUAAUGGAAGGAGGGGCAAACUUUUUCAACCUACUAGGGGAUUACGACAAGGUGAUCCACUGAGUCCGUUUCUUUUUCUUAUAUGCAACGAGGGUCUCUCAUCGUUAAUGAGACUUGCAAAGAAUAAAGGUCUGUGGAAGGGUGUAAAAGUGAGUAAGAGAGGGCUAGAGAUAACCCACUUAUUAUUUGCAGAUGAUUGCAUGAUGUUUGGUGAAGCAACAGAAAGGGGAGCAAUGGUCUUGAAAGACAUACUCAAGGAAUAUGAAAGUUGUUCGGGUCAAUGUGUGAACUUCAGUAAAUCUACGAUUUUUUAUAGUUCGAAUACUACAGAAGAUAAAAAAGUGGAAGUAUCUUCAUUGUUAGGAGUAAGGAUCUCAAAAAAUCCCGAAAAGUAUCUGGGACUGCCUAAUAUGGUGGGCAUAAGGAAAAAGAGUCAUUCCAGAAUUUAUUAGAUAGAGUAUCUGAGCAUGUGGAAGGUUGGAGUACCAGACUGCUCUCUCAAGGGGAAAAGAAGGUUUUUAUUAAAUCAGUAUUACAGGCUAUACCAACCUAUGCUAUGUCUUGUUUCCUUUUACCUAACUCUUUGUGUGGGUUGUUUGAAAGUAUUUUUGCUAAGAUUUGGUGGAAAAGGGGUUUAGGAAGAGAGGAAUUCAUUGGUGUCAGUAAAGAUACUUGUGUUGACCAAAAAAUGAAGAAGGAUUGGGGUUCAGAAAUAUGUCCCAGUUCAAUAUAGCUCUUUUGGCUAAACAAGGGUGGAGACUUCUAGUUAAUCCGAAUUCUUUUGUAGCACAAGUUUUGAAAGCGAAGUAUUUUCCAGAAAACAAUUUUCUUAAUUCGCGUUUGGGGAAUCGAAGUUCGUAUGCAUAGCGUAGUAUAUGGGUGGCCAAGGGUUUAUUGGAGAAAGGAUUGAUUUGGAAGGUUGGUACGGGCACGAGUAUUUCAAUUAGAGAUGAUAUAUAGAUUCCAGAUUAUAGGAAUUUAAGAUUAUCGAAUGCUAAUGUUGAUUUGCGCUUUGAUACAGUUGUUGAGCUAAUCAAUAAUAAUGAAAGAAUCUGGAAUAGAGAAUUGAUAGUUAAUACCUUUCCAGAAGAUGUAGCUGAACUGAUCCUUCGUAUCCCCUUGGCGAUGGAACCCCAAUCAAACUUCCUGGCUUGGAACGAAAAACCUUCGGGCGAGUUUUCAGUUCGGAGCAUCUACAAACUAUUACAAAGUGAUGAUCCUAGAGCUUAUGUUGUACAAAAUGACUAUAGGGAUUUUUACAAAAAUCUUUGGUGCCUAGAUCUACCUACUAAGAUUAAAAUUACAAUCUAGAGAAUCGCCUAGAACUAUCUACCUACGUGGGCAAAAUGUUACUUAGGAGACUAGCAAAUAACUUAAUAUGCCUUCGAUUUGGCUCGGAAGCAGAAAUAAUGGACCAUCUAUUUCGGAAAUGUUCUUUGUCAGUGGCAGUGUGGGAAGCAUUAUCUAUCUCUAAUUUUACACAGGGGACAAACUUAGAGUUUGAGCAGUGGCUUACCAAAGUCUUUGAUUCUCUCCCUCGGGGUCUACGCAGAAUUUUUUGUGGGGCACUUUGGGCUAUCUGGGGAGAUCGUAACGCUUGGAUACAUGAAAACACAAAUAGAUCAGGUUAGUAGAUAGCAACAUAUGUUAAAAUUUUUUUAUAUGAACUUGAUGGGGCUGGUAAAAAUACCUAUAAGGCUCCUAAGGUUGAUGUUAAAUGGAAUCACCCACCUGGGCAGGCAGUAAAAGUAAACUUUGACGGGGCUUAUGAUGCGAGGAACCACCAAUCGGCGUCAGGGGUCGUGGUCAGAGUCAGUAAGGGUCAUGUUCUCAUCUCUUGCACAGAAUUUCAUAGAGGAGUGGCUUCUCCUUUUGAUGCGGAAGCCAUCACUUGUCGAAGGGCAACCCAGAUUGGUCUUGCAAUGAAUCAACCAGAAACCAUUAUAAAAAGUGAUUCUUUAACAAUAAUAAAGAAGUGCAAGGAUAUAAAUCUAGAUAAAUCGCAAAUAGGGGCUUACAUACACGAUAUUCACGAGAUGAAGUCCAGGACCAGAAAGAUAAGAUUUGUACAUAUCCGGAGAUCAGCGAAUGGACUAGCUCACACUCUAGCAACAGAAUCGCUUAAGAGGAGAGAAGAGAUGCACCUGGUAGAGAGCAUCCCCAACUACGCAGAAGGCAUUAUGAGAAGUGAGAGUGUUCAAGAACUAAAUUGAAGAAAUGAAGAGUAGAGAGGAAGGAUGAGAGUUUCAAAAUGAAUCUGAACAAUUGACUGUGAGAUUAGACCCCCUUGGUAAAGGACGUCGCCAUUAAAGAUUGAAUUGACAGAUGAGAUGGAGAGUCAGACGUCAGUUUUUCUAAUUGGGCAAGAGGGCAAUGGUUUU